RNAcentral lists this ribosomal RNA (1884 nucleotides) under human gut metagenome. Its description in RNAcentral is "bacterial LSU rRNA". It matches the Rfam family "Bacterial large subunit ribosomal RNA", at positions 3 to 1980 of the family's 2925-position model. The record is from RNAcentral.
UCAAGCGAACAAGGGCGCAGGGCGAAUGCCUUGGCACUGGGAGCCGAUGAAAGACGUGAUAAGCUGCGAUAAGCUUCGGGGAGCUGCAAAUAAGCAUUGAUCCGGAGAUUUCUGAAUGAGGAAACUCACCUGGGUUCAUACUCAGGUACGUUGUACUGAAAUUCAAAAUAGGUACAUCGGGGGAACCGCCUGAACUGAAACAUCUAAGUAGGGCGAGGAAGAGACAUCAAACGAGAUUCCGUAAGUAGUGGCGAGCGAACGCGGAAGAGGGCAAACCGAAGGUAGAAAUACCUUCGGGGUACGGACUGCUUUUAGGACUCGAUCUGUUAACCGAACGGCAUGGGAAGGCCGGUCAGAGAGUGUGAGAACCACGUAGGUGAAAACGGAAAGAGCUGCGCAGAAUCCAGAGUACGGCCAGACACGUGAAACCUGGUCGGAAGAUGGGGGGACCACCCUCCAACCCUAAAUACUACCCAGUGACCGAUAGCGUAUAGUACUGUGAAGGAAAGGUGAAAAGCACCCCGGGAGGGGAGUGAAAAAGAACCUGAAACCCUGUGCCUACAAGCACCUAGAGCACGUCAAAGUGUGAUAGGGUACUUUUUGUAGAACGGUCCGGCGAGCGAUUGUAUGCAGCAAGGUUAAGGACUUAAGGUCUGGAGCCGAAGCGAAAGCGAGUUUGAAAAGGGCGUUAAGUUGCAUAUAAUGGGCCCGAAACCGGGUGACCUACCCAUGGUCAGGUUGAAGUGGAAGUAAAAUUCCAUGGAGGACCGAACCGACCUCCGUUGAAAAGGCGGCGGAUGAACUGUGGGUAGCGGAGAAAUUCCAAUCGAACCCGGAGAUAGCUGGUUCUCCCCGAAAUAGUUUUAGGACUAGCCUCAAGUUAGAUACCUGGAGGUAAAGCACUGAAUAGCCUAGCGGCCGAGAGGUUAGCGAAGCUUAUCAAACUCAGAAUGCCAGAGUAUUGAUGCUUGGGAGUCAGACAGUGUCAGAUAAAUGUCAUUGUCAAAAGGGAAACAGCCCAGAUCUACAGCUAAGGUCCCAAAGUCAGGUUAAGUGGAAAACGAUGUGAAGAUACGCAGACAACCAGGAUGUUGGCUCAGAAGCAGCCACUCAUUCAAAGAGUGCGUAAUAGCUCACUGGUCGAGCGUCUUUGCGCGGAGAAUUUAACGGGGCUAAACCUGACACCGAAGCUUAGGCAAUCCAGCAAUGGAUUGGGUAGGGGAGCGUUGUAUACGCGGAGAAACAGUAGCGUAAGCGGCUGUGGAGUGUAUAGAAGUGAGAAUGCCGGAAUGAGUAGCGCGAAUGCAGUGAGAAUCUGCAUGGCCGAAAGCCUCAGGUUUUUGGAGGAAGGUUCGUCCGCUCCAAGUUAGUCGGGAGCUAAGGUGAGGCCGGAAGGCGUAGCCGAUGCACAGACGGUAGAGAUUCCGUCACCACCAAAAGAGUUAAGCACAGGGACACAUUUGAAGUCUCAGAGCCGGGUGUUGGUUCCGGUAGAGAUCGAGGGAAAUUAGUACCGAAGUCUGGGAUGGAAGAUGGCGAGAAAAGCUGUGUGUAUUUCUGAGGUGCCCGUACCGCAAACCGACACAGGUAGGUAGGAAGAAGAUUCUAAGGCCAACGGGAGAAGGGUUGUUAAGGAACUCGGCAAAUUGACCCCGUAACUUCGGGAGAAGGGGUGCUCCAGAGAUGGAGCCGCAGAGAAUCGGCCCAAGCAACUGUUUACCAAAAACACAGGUUUGUGCUAAAUCGAAAGAUGACGUAUACGAGCUGACGCCUGCCCGGUGCUGGAAGGUUAAGAGGAGAUGUGCAAGCAUUGAAUCGAAGCCCCAGUGAACGGCGGCCGUAACUAUAACGGUCCUAAGGUAGCGAAAUUCCUUGUCAGGUAAG